RNAcentral lists this ribosomal RNA (512 nucleotides) under uncultured bacterium. RNAcentral's name for it is "partial 16S ribosomal RNA". It matches the Rfam family "Bacterial small subunit ribosomal RNA", at positions 28 to 507 of the family's 1533-position model. The record is from RNAcentral.
GAUGAACGCUGGCGGCGUGCCUAAUACAUGCAAGUCGAACGAAACUACGAGAACCCUGCUUGUUUGCACUCACCGGCAGACGGUUGAGUAGCAAGCGGGUAAGCAACAUAUAAGCAACGGACCACUUCGGGGAACAUGACACAAUGACGCAUAAUCUAAUACCCCGCAAGCAUAAAUACUGAAAGAUGACUUUGUAAUAACUUAUUAAACUAUCGCUUUCGCAUUAGCCCGCUGCGCAUUAGCUAGUUGGUAGGGUAAAGGCUUACCAAGGCAAUGAUGCGUAGCCGAACUGAGAGGUUGAUCGGCCACACUGGAACUGAGACACGGUCCAAACUCCUACGGGAGGCAGCAGUAGGGAAUCUUCCACAAUGGGCGAAAGCCUGACGGAGCAACGCCGCGUGAGUGAUGAAGGUCUUCGGAUCGUAAAACUCUGUUAUUAGAGAAGAACGAACGUGUAAGUAACUAUGCACGUCUUGACGGUACCUAAUCAGAAAGCCACGGCUAACUACGUG